ACUAUUUUGGCAGAAAAUUGCUUUAAAUUUAGAAUUUAAUUAUAUGAUUAAAUAUCAUAAAUAGUA
RNAcentral lists this transfer RNA (66 nucleotides) under Nesidiocoris tenuis. RNAcentral's name for it is "tRNA-Leu". The record is from RNAcentral. Lineage: Eukaryota; Metazoa; Arthropoda; Insecta; Hemiptera; Miridae.